UUUUAUUCAGAAAAACAGUUUGGACCCUGUAAACUUAAUGCCAAACCGGCACUAAAUAAAGACCACAAUUCACAGUGCACUAUGAUGAAUCCAACAAAGUGAAACUAGAAACCACAUUUCUGUUAGGUUAUGAAAGCAGUUCUUUUUAUCCAAUAAAGAGUCAACAGAGCAUGUUCCUGAUUUGUGUUUUCUCGUCAGCAAAUAAGGAAAUACAUGUGCAAAUGUUCAGCAAUUGAAACUGAAAACGAGAAGGACCAAAAGAAGAAAUAUGGAUAACAAUUCAACACUUACAUUUCUCUGGAAUCCAACUCUUGGAAUCUAGAGCACUGAAAAUGUUACCCACAGCUAACUUUACCUUCACAAUUCACAUUCUAAUUUCUGCUUUAUAUUUCCCCCAGAAAUAACUAACACAAAAAAUUCCUUAAUUGCUUUAACCUUCGAUUGAAUUAUAGAAGCACAAAAGUACAAAAGAACUUGAAGAGGUUCAAAUUUCCUUUCUCCCUUCCCCUCCAAUUUAUCACCAGCUAUAGUCCAACUCAACAAUACUAUGGUGAACUGAGCUACGAUUAAUUGAUCUAAGACUACCUAACCGGUAAUCGAAGCUCAAAAUGCAACAAAUUUCAACGUUUACACUUGUCAAAAUCAAUCCAGAAACAAAUAAAGAUUCAGCUGGAUCGUCAUCAUAUAACCGAAACAAUAUACUUUUCAUAUAUGUGGAAGCAAACAACAAAAACUAAGCUCUUACACAUCUAAAAUUGAUUUUCCAAAAUCGAAACACACCAACACCAACAAGCGAACAACCAAUCAAAAACAGAUCACACCAGAAUCACAUCGUUAAAAAAAAAUUUCGACAAACAAAAAGAGAAAUGAUCGAACAAGAGACUUACAGC
RNAcentral lists this unclassified non-coding RNA (890 nucleotides) under Hevea brasiliensis (rubber tree). The record is from RNAcentral. Lineage: Eukaryota; Viridiplantae; Streptophyta; Magnoliopsida; Malpighiales; Euphorbiaceae.